RNA transcript from Phragmites australis (common reed), 2597 nucleotides. RefSeq lists it as uncharacterized. Lineage: Eukaryota; Viridiplantae; Streptophyta; Magnoliopsida; Poales; Poaceae. The transcript has 12 exons. The record is from RefSeq and is a predicted model, not a curated record.
CAUGCUCUGCUCACGACUCCCCUCCCUCGUCUCCCCCAAGCCCACAGACCCCUACCACCUCCGACUGCCGCCGCUCUGCCAUGGCCGCCGCCGGCGGCCGGCCGUGGCGCGUGAUCCCGCGCCCCGUCCUCGAGACCGUCCUCCACAACCACGCUCUCCGCCCGCGCGUGCCGCAGCCGCUGCUCCUCCAUGGGCCCCGCGGCGUCGGCAAGUCCACGCUCCUCUUCCUCCGCCUCCUCCCACGGUGGUCCGACCCGCCCCACUCCGCCGCUUUCGUCGACUUCCUCCACCCCACGCCCUGUUCUCCCGCCGCCGCCGCGCCGUGGUCCCUCCUGGCCACCGACCCCCCUCCCUCGUUGCCCGACCUCCGGCUCCGCCUCGAGUCUGCGCUCGAGGGCCUCGCCCGCGGCGCCGUCCUCCGCGGUGCCUUGGGAUCCAAGGACGUGCUCGCCGCGCUCUCCCGUUCCCACGGCCUCCGCACCGCGCUCUCUCGCGUCGCGGGGGCCCCCGCCGCUCGCUCCUCCACCACCUCAGUGCCGGCGCUCUGGGGGAGGGCCGUACUCGCCUCGACCCGCAAGGACGACGCCACGUUCCGCAUUGGUGAGGGGGAGGCGGCCAACUGCUCCAUGGAGGAGAGGGCAUACAUGCAGGAGGCUAUGGGGGCCCUGCGGGUGGCCAAGGAGGUGCUCAGGAUGCAGGAGGGGUGGAGGAAGGAGGCGGUGAGGGAGAUGAAUAGAACUGGGAGGUUCUCGCGCUCACUGGCCAAUUCGGCCACUGACUGGCCGUGCCUGUUGCUUGAUGUGCUGUCCGGUGCGGUCGAGGAGGAUUUCUUCCAGCCGAAGCUGGUGCUUAACAAUGUGGAUGUACUGAGGAAGGCGAAAUGCGAGGAUGAGACAAUGGUGCCUGCUGCGAUGUACCAUGAUAGUUUCAUUUGGAGGGUGAUUGCACUCGGAGCCAAUGAACAUUGCUUGCCUGUCAUUAUGGCAACCUCAGAUGGCUACUAUUCUUCUCAAGCAUUUGUUGAUUUUGGUUUUCCUAACAUAUUCAUUUCUCGUGAGACAUUUGGUUGGACACCACAAGAAGCUAAGCUGCAUAUGGUUUCUGAAUUCUUCAGUGAACAAGAGUGGAAAGUUGUAGACGAGGUUCUUGGGCCAAACCCACGACAGUUAUCUGAGAUAUAUAUGCUGAAGCAAACGGUGAAUAACCCAGAGGUUCUGCAUGACAGAAAUAUUGAGGAAGUUAUUGAUACAUACCUGGCACACUUGCAAGUAUCUGUUGUGAAUCCAGCAAUGGAGACAGCAUUAGGAAUGCUGCAGAAGUUUGCCUCUGAUGUCAGUGAGGGUAAAGUACCAGAGAACAGAUUACCUUUUGGUGCACCUUGGAGACAUCCACCUCGGGACGGCAACCCUGACUUGUCCUAUAAAUGGGCAAAGAUUCAGCUAAUGGAUUUUGUCCAAUCCUUUGUAAACACUGAGUUUGGGGUGAACUACCUGUCAGAUGACAGCCUGGAAAUAUUGGAUGAUCCUGCAGCAGUUGCCAUGAUGGAGGUUGGUUUGCUUUAUCAACAAAGAGAUCCAUCCUUUAUGCGACCAGUCACCCGUGGGAUUCAGCGUUGUCUUGCUAGAUGGCUUGCUCAACAGAGAUUACAAUUGAACCUUCAAGAAUCAAUAUCAUACUUUUGGCAACGUCUAAUACGUGGGCGAAGCUAUCGUCAUUUAAUGAAAGAAGUUGGCUACAAGUAAAGAGGUUAUUUUUAAGAAAAUAUUCAUGUGCCAAGAAGUGAUUCCAAUGGAUCAGGAACCAGUUUUCAAUUUUGAUGUGAGACUGACAGGUGACUUUGAUGGACUGACAUUUUUUAACAUCCAUUAGAAUGUUUCAAGCAUAAAUGAUUUGGUGACCACUCAUAUUCACAUGGAUAAUUCCUCACAUGUCACUGGAUAAAACCUAAAUCCAUGACACGCCACUGUCAGUGAUUGAGGUGGGCCCUACGCGUCAUAGACACAUCGAUGGCAUAUUAGGGAUUUGUGAGUUUUUGCGGUGGCAUAUAAGGAAAUGCCCCGUAUUUAUGCAUCACAAUUACCAUGGCCUAAUAUGAAUUCAAUCAAGAGAAUCCACAACAUGACACUCUGGUUGUGAGGCUGACAUGUUGGUCCCAGGGUAUGUUGUAAAUAUUUGGGCUUGUUCAGUUGCAUAUAAUGGACUGUCGCAAUAACAGCAUAGAAUUGUAGCAGUUCUUUAUCCUUCUAGCAGAUCAAGACACAGCCGUCAAAUAAAUUUGCAGGUAGUUAUAUUAACUUUGGUGCCUUCAUGUCUGGUGGUGGUGCGUAUGUCAAAUGUGAAUAUUUGAAAAGACCACAGUUCAAUUUUCCAAAAAUAUUAUCACAAGCCCACAAAUGUUCAAUUCUUUUUUCAUCUUUUUUUCACUAGAUGCGCAGCAACAAACCAUCCAUAUCUUUUACAGUUUUACAACACAUUGAAGCGUGAGUGAUGUUCCAUUAUGGCUUAAACAGGCAAUGGCAUUGGUGAACAUACUUCAAUGUUUGGCAUGGAAAUCUGCAUAAUAAUAUCCAAGGGUUCAAUCGCUGUUUUUGUUUAUG